This 782-nucleotide ribosomal RNA is filed under the name uncultured bacterium. RNAcentral describes it as "bacterial SSU rRNA". It matches the Rfam family "Bacterial small subunit ribosomal RNA", at positions 39 to 842 of the family's 1533-position model. The record is from RNAcentral.
GCGGCGUGGAUUAGGCAUGCAAGUCGAGCGCUCAUAGCAAUAUGGGAGCGGCGAACGGCGUAGGAAUUCAUAGGAACGUACCCUCAGGUCGGGGAUAGCUACGGGAAACUGUAGGUAAUACCCGAUGAUCUCUGCGGAGCAAAGGUGUGAUUCCGCCUGAGGAGCGGCUUAUGCGAUAUUAGCUAGUUGGUGGGGUAAUGGCCUACCAAGGCGAAGAUGUCUAGGGGGUGUGAGAGCAUGGCCCCCACGACCGGAACUGAGAUACUGUCCGGACACCUACGGGUGGCUGCAGUCGAGAAUCUUCCGCAAUGGACGAAAGUCUGACGGAGCGACGCCGCGUGCGGGAUGAAGGCCCUUGGGUUGUAAACCGCUUUCGGAGGGGAUGAAAUCCUCGAGGGUUAUCCCUCGAGGUUGACAGAGCCUCAAAAGAAGCACGGGCUAAGUACGUGCCAGCAGCCGCGGUAACACGUACUGUGCGAACGUUAUUCGGAAUCACUGGGCUUAAAGGGUGCGUAGGCGGCGAUUCAAGUCAGAUGUGAAAUGCCUGAGCUCAACUGAGGCAUUGCGUUUGAAACUGAAUUGCUAGAGUAUUUCAGGGGUGUGCGGAACUGCCAGUGGAACGGUGAAAUGUGUUGAUAUUGGCAGGAACACCGGAGGCGAAAGCGGCACACUGGGGAAUAACUGACGCUUAGGCACCAAAGCCAGGGGAGCGAACGGGAUUAAAUACCCCGGUAGUCCUGGCUGUAAACGAUGAGCACUGGGCGGGAGGGGGUUUCCCUUUU